UUUAAUUAAUCAAAAUUCUCAUAAUGUAAGUCUAAAUGAACAGUGCGGAAUAAGUACACAAGUCCAAUAUCGGGGUGUCACAAGUCACGAGAAUCUACUAAGGUCUGAAUACAACAAAGAGUGUAAAAAUGUACUAUAUACAGUCUAAGGAAGACAAGAGGGAGAAAAUUCGUGCUGCGAACAUCGGACAGCUACCUUGCUAACUCCAAUGACUCUGCCAUUGAGCAAUCAAACCCGCUACCGGGUUCAAAAGUAUCUGAAUCUGCAUAAAAGGUACAGGGAGUAAUGUGAGUACGCCAACUCACUAAGUAAUAAAAGUAAAUGAAAUGUGAGCAAUAAGAAAAUGCGUAAGCCACGUCAUAACGCUGCAGCAAAUGCAGUACAUUUCCAAAACAAUACAUAUAUCAUUUACUUCGUAAAUCAUGCUCUUUUCGGUAAAAUAUUUUAAAACAACUUUAAAUGGUUUCAAACGAGUGAUAAAAUAGUGAGUAAAAAUGAUAGAAACGUAAACAGCCCAUCGAACAAAACAUGUACCAUAAAUCGCCCCUCGGGCAUAAUAUCAACAGAACCAGCCCCUCGGGCUACCUCACAAUCACGCGUAAUCAGCCCCUUGGGCAUAACAUGAAUCAAGAACCGCCUCUCGGGCAAAACAACGGAUCAAAAACAGUCCUUCGUGCAACACUUUGUAACAACAACAACCCCUCAGCUACAUCAUACCACUCACACUAGGUACCCGCGCUCACUGGGAAUGUACAGACUCUGGGAGGGGCCCUUUAUGGUCCAAGUGCAAUAUCAAGCCAUCUCAUGGCGUAACACAGCCACCUCGUGGCGUAACAACUCACACUAGGUACUCGCGCUCACUGGGGGAUGUACAGCCUAUAGGAGGGGCCGCUUACGGCCCAAGCGUAAUAACAAGCCAUCUCAUAGCAUAAUCAAACAUGCUAUCUACCUCAUAUCAAGCCACCUCGUUGCGUAAACACUCAAGCCCUCGGCCUCCUAAUCAUGAAUCAAAACAAUAUCGCUGCAGCGCGCAGCCCGAUCCCAUAAUAACCUUACAACACAGGCCCUCAACCUCACUCAGUUAGAAAUCUCUAAAAGCCCAUAGGGCACUAUAAAAUAUGAUGCUUAGCCCAAAUAUCAUUUAAGAUGUCAAAACAGAGUAAACAUGGUUGAGUUAUAAAAGCAGUAGAAUACAACAUGACUGUAACGACCCAAAGGGGUCAUCACCUGUUUCUUUAUUUGUUCUGUGACUCCGGGGCCUUGGAAACCUAAAUUAGGGUUUCCUCGAUUUGUGUGAGUAGUCCGGUGCGUAGCCGGAAAUCUUAAAUAUGAAUUUCUGUGAGAAAAGUGCUAAAUUUUAAUAUUUAAAAUGAUUACAUUUGACUUCGGUCAACAUUUUGAGUAAACGACCUGGACCCGUAAUUUACCAGUCCUGGAGGGUCCGUAAGAAAAUAUGGGAGUUGGGCGUAUGCCCGGAAUCAAAUUUCGAGGUUCCAAGCCCGAUGAAUGAAUUUUUGAGUAAAAUUGAUUUCUGGAAAUAAUUAUAGAAAAUGGAAAUGAAAUUCGAUUAGAAGAUUACGGUAUCGGGGCCGGAAUUUUUGUUCUGGCGUCCGGUACAUGUCUUAUACGUGAUUUAAGCCCUUUCUGUAAAGUUUGGUUAAAAUCGAACGUCGUUGACGCGAUCCGGACCCUAAUUGGGAAUUUAUACUUAAAAGGGAGAUUUGAGAAAUUUCAUUGAUCUUGAGGCUCAAUUCCAUGUUCAUGAUGCUAUAUUGGUGAUUUGAUCACACGAAUAUGUUUGUAAGAUAUUUUGAGGUGUGUAUGCCUUGAUUAGAGUUUUGAGGGCUCGGAUGAGAUUUGAGUAGGUUACGGGAUGCCUUAGGCUUAAAAAGAUCAGAUUUUGCAGGUUCGAAAAUUUGGCAUGUCUCUGAACCCUCUAGCGCGGCUCGCAAGAAAUCAUUACACGAAUAUGUUUAUAAGAUGUUUUGAGGUGUGUAUGCCUGGAUUAGAGUUUUGAGGGCUCGGGUCAGCUUUGAGUAGGUUCCGGGAUGCCUUAGGCUUAAAAAGAUCAUAUGUUGCAGGUUCAGAAAUUUGGCAUGUCUUUGAACCCUCUAGCGCAGCCCGCGAGAAAUCGCAUGCGGCCGUGGAGGGUCCAGCACGGCAGCAGUCCCCUUUGUGGGGUCCGCAAUGGGUGCUGCGCGGCCGCGGUCGGUUUGGUGCGGUCCGCAUUGGGCAGUAACCUGCAGGCCUUCAGAAAGCAUGUGCGGCCACGGUCCUUUUUAUGUAGUUUGCAUAGGGAACCUCAGAUGAGUAUAAAUACACAUGAAUUUUAGUUAUUUUACACUUUCAAAAACCCCAAUACUUAAUAGGCGAUUUUCCAAACAACUCUUCUUAUCCAAAACGAUUGGUUAGUGAUUACAAACUUAUUUUCUUCACUCAUUAAAAUCUUUUAACAUGAUCUCAACUUCAAAUGAAAGAUUUUCAUGGGAAAAUUGGGUGUUUUGCGUAAAACCUAGGUUUUCUAAAAAUUGGGGAGUUGGACCUCAAUUUGAGGUCCGAUUCCAAAACAAAUCAUAUAUUUGGAUUCGUGGGGGAAUGGGUAACCAGAUUUUGGUCCGAACCUCGAGUUUCGACCUUGUGGGCUGGGGGGAAUUUUUUAUCUUUUGAGGUAAAAAUUUGUAAAAUUUAUUUUCAUGCAUCGGGAUUGAUUCAUUUAGUAUUUGUUGAUGAGAUAAAGUAACUUAUGAUUAGAUUCAAGCGGAUUGGUGGUGGAACAAAGGGGAAAAGCUAUAAUUGAGGAUGAGUUGAAUUCAAGGCAUUAAGGUAAGUGUUCGAUCUAACCUUAGCUUGAGGGAUUAGGAGUUGAGUCUUAUGUGCUAAUUGUUCUUUGUUGAGACGACGUAUAGGCAUGAUGACUAGUAUCUAUACGUUGGUGUCAAGCAUGACCGUGGGUCCUAAAUUGAAAGUUGUUGUAUACUUAAAUGACAUCAUAUAUGCCUUAAAUAAUGAUCUAUCGUAUCGGGCAAAGAUUUGUUUCUCCUCGUAGAUCCUAAUUUUGAUUGAGUAUAGGGUUGGUUAUAGUUGAUUCUCCCUUGCCGGGAUGAUUGUUUCUAUAUUGUUGUUCCCUUUCCGAGAAGUUAUUAUCUUACUUUGUUCCCUUGCCGAGAUUUGUUGUGAUUAUGUGAUAACAUGAAAUGCGAUCGGGUGGUACGCCUACCACGAGAUGUAAUAAAAUAGGAGUGGGUGAUACGCCUACCGCAAGAUAUUGAAAUGGGAGCGGGUGGUACGCCUGCCACGAGAUAUUGAAAUGGGAUCGGAGGGUACACCUACCACGAGAUGUAAUGAAAUGGGACUGGGUGGUACGCGUACCACAAGAUAUUGAAAUGGGAGCGAGUGGUACGCCCACCACAAGAUAUUGAAAUAGGAGCGGUGGUACGCCUACCACGAGAUAUUGAAAUGGGAGCCGGUGGUACGCCUACCAUGAGAUAUAAUAAAAUGGGAGCGGGUGGUACGCCUACCACGAGAUAUAAUAAAAAUGGGAGCGGGUGGUACGCCUACCUUGAGAUAUUGAAAUGGGAGCGGGUGGUACGCCUACCACAAGAUAUCUUGAAAUGGGAUUGGGUUGCACGCCUGCAAAAAGAUUGAAACUAAAAGUGAAAGUUGUCUUUACUUCUUUUUACUUGCGUUAGAAGUUAAAUUAUAGUUUUUUCUUAUUGUUCUUGAUAUUCUGUUUACCUGUCAUCCCUACAGCAUGUUCCCCUUUCCCCAGCUUUAAGUGUAUAUUACUUGUUUACUUUUCCGCUAUAUAUUAUAUAAUUGCACUGGCUUAUAUGGAGUCUGGUCCUAGCCUCGUCACUACUUCGUCGGUUAGGCCAGACACUUACCAGCACAUGGAGUUGGUUGUGCUGAUGCUAUACUCUGUGCUCUUUUGCACAGAUCUAGGUGCCGGAGUAGCAUUUGAGCAGCAGUACUAGAUCCGGAGCCAGCCUUAAGUCCACCGAGAUACCGUGGUAGCCUUGCAAACGUCCGUAGGCCCGGAGUCUCCUCUAUCUUUCUUUUCAUUUUGUUAUCUCAUGUAUUCCGAGACAAAUAUUGUUAUAUUCUUUUCAAACGGUUGUGUGUAGUACUCUUAGUGGUUCGUGAGUAUGUGAUACAAGUUCUUGGAUAGAGAUUAUGUUGAUUUUUUCGUAUUAUUGUUUAGAUUCUUUAACUUAAGACUUUCACUUAUUUAUUUUAUUCUGUUGUUUCAUGGUAUUACCGAUAAUUGCUAAAAGGAGUAAAUCAUUUAUGGAAAAAUGGUAGUUAAAGGUUGGCUUGCCUAUCUUUCAACAGUAGGCGCCAUCACGACUCCCGAGGGUGGGAAUUUUGGGUUGUGACAAGUUGGUAUCAGAGGUCUAGGUUGCAUAGGUCUCAAAACUCAUGGACAAGCUUAGUAGAGUCUAAGGGAUCGAUACGGAGACGUCUGUAUUUAUCCCCAGAGGCUACAAAGUUAGGAAAAUUUCACAUCUGUUCUUUCUUGUCGUGCAAAUUGGUUUCCUAGUGCUAAUUGAAAUUCUACUCUAUUCUAUCGCAGAUGGCAAGAACACGUGUUUUCCCAUGUUCUGAUCAGCAGUCCGAGCCCUAGAUAGCUUUCAUUAGGGGUAGAGGCUGAGGCUGUGCUAGAGGCCGAGGUAGGGACGGAUCUCAGCCCCGAGCAGCAGCACCACUGGCGGAGCCUCAGGUUAAAUUUGACGAGGAGGUUUCGACCCUAAUCCCAGCAAUUCCGGUGAGCCCAGCUCAUGUCCCAGAGGGGUUUAUUGCUACCCCAGUUCUUCAGGACACUCUGGUCUAAUUGGUGGGUCUUAUGGAGAAUGUUACCCGAGCAGGUUUACUUCCAGUAGUACCAGCUGUCUCUCAGGAUGGAGGAAGGGCCCAGACUCCUGCUACUCAUACUCCGGAGUAGGUAGCUCCCCAGGUUCAGAUUCUAGUGGUUUAGCCAACUAUGGCAGUUCAGCCGGGAGUGGUUGCUCAGACCGGCAAUGGAGCAGCUAUGUCCGCAGAUGCUUUGUGGAGGCUGGAUAGGUUCACCAAGUUUUUCACAUCUUCAUUCAGCGGUGCAUCUACUGAGGAUCCCCAGAAUUACCUGGAUAGGUUUCAUGAGGUUUUUCAGAACAUGGGGAUCGUUGAGACCGAUGGGGUUGAUUUCUCUACUUUUCGGUUGUCUGGAUCUGCUAAGACUUGGUGGAGGGAUUAUUGUUUAUCUGGGCCAACAGGAUCUCCAGCCUAUACCUGGGAGCAGUUCACACAUGUAUUUCUGGAGAAGUUUCUCCCUACUACUCAGCGAGAGGCCUAUCGGAGGCAGUUCGAGCGUCUUCACCAGGGAUCUAUGACAGUCACCCAGUACGAGACCAGGUUAAUUGAGCUGGCACGCCAUGCCAUUGUUAUACUCUCUACUGAGAGGGAGAGAGUGAGACAGUUUAUUGUUGGACUCAUACAGCCUAUUCGUCUCCAGAUGGAUAGAGAGGCUGGGAGCGAGAUAUCCUUUCAGGAGGCGGCCAAUGUGGCCCGAAGGAUUGAGAUGGUAUUGUCACAAGGGGGUGGUCACAAGGCAGAUAUGAGACUAGAGGUUAAGAUUCGCAUGAUAUGGGUCAUCCUCCUAGGCCCUUCCAGUCAGCACUCCAGGUUUCUCAUGGUACUUCAAGUGGUCGUGGUUCUUAGCUGCAUUAUUCUUAUCAACAGCCUGUGCACCACCACUUUAGAGUUUCCAGGCUCGCCAAUCCCAGCAGUAGAGAACUUCUUUUACUUAUGGCGACACAAGGCACAUUGCUAGGUAUUGUCCUCGAGCUUUCUUCAUAGCAAGGUUCACGUGCUAUGGUAGAGGCACCAGAUGUUCCACAGCCUACCAAGCUGGCUAGAGGUGGGGGUAGAGGUAGAGGUAGAGGUCAUAGAGGUGGAGCUCAGACCGCCAGAGGUAGAGUCCAGCACACAGCAGGUCAUCCUAGAAAGGUAGAUCAGAGUGGUGGGGCCCAGCCCCGAUGUUAUGCUAUUCAGGCCAGGCCCGAGGUAGAGGCUUCGGAUGCGAUUAUUAUAGGUAUGGUUCUGGUAUGUGAUAGAGAUGCUUCAGUGUUGUUUUAUCUGGGGACUACGUAUUCGUAUAUGUCAUUUUAUUUUGCCCCAUACUUGAUCAUGCAUAGUGACGCAUUGGAUAUUCCUGUUUAUGAGUCUACACCAAUGGGUGACUUGAUUAUGGUCGGUCGAGUCCAUCGUUCUUGUGUUGUGGUGAUUGGGGUCUUGAGAGUCGUAUAGAUUUGUUGCUUUUAGAUAUGGUUGAUUUAGACAUUAUAUUGGGGAUGGGCUGGUUAUCACCUUAUCAUGCUAUCUUGGACUGUCAUGCCAAGACUGUGACCUUAGCUUUACCGGGUAUGCUUUGUUUAGAGUGGAGAGGGACUCUAGGUCAUUAUACCCGUAGUGUUAUAUCAUAUGCGAAGGCUCGGCGUAUGGUCAAGAAGGGGUGUUUGGCUUAUUUGGCUUAUGUUCGGGAUUCUAGUGUCGAGGUUCCCUCUAUUGAUUUUGUUCUCAUUGUUUCUGAACUCCCCAAUGCUUUUCCUUCGGUCCUGCCAGAUAUGCCACCAGAUAGGGACAUUGAUUUCUGCAUCGAUUGGUUUCAGGCACUCAGCCCAUUUCUAUUCCGCCAUAUCGUAUGGCCCCGCCUGAGUUGAAAGAGUUAAAGGAACAGUUGCAGGAUUUGCUUGAGAAGGGUUUCAUUUGACCUAGUAUACUAUCACGGGGUGCGCUAGUGUUUUUUUCCAAAAAGAAGGAUGGGUCAAUGAGAAUGUGUAAUUAUUACUGGCAAUUGAAUAAGGUAACAAGUAAUAAUAAGUAUCCACUAUAGAGGAUUGAUGAUUUGUUUGACCAGCUUCAAGGCUCUAGGGUAUUUUCCAAGAUUAACUUGCAAUCUUGCUACCAUCAGUUUAGGAUUAGGGCAUCUGAUGUCCCUAAGACAGCUUUCCGCACUCUGUACGGGCAUUAUUAGUUCUUUGUUAUGUCAUUCGGGUUGACAAAUGACCCAGCAGCUUUCAUGGGCUUGAUGAACUAAGUGUUCAGGCCUUAUUUGGACGCAUUCAUGAUAGUUUUUAUUGAUGAUAUGUUGAUAUAUUCUCUUAGCCAGGAGGAGCACGAGUAGCACCUUAGUGUGGUUCUUCAAACUCUAAUGGAAAGUCAGUUAUAUGCUAAGUUCUCAAAGUGUAAAUUUCGGUUGAGUUCAGUAGCAUUUCUGGGUUAUGUUGUAUCAGCAGAGAGUAUUCAAGUGGACCCAAAGAAGAUUGAGGUAGUCAAGAGAUGGCCUAGACCAACAUCAGCUACAAAGAUUCGGAUUUUCUUGGGGUUUGCAGGCUACUAUCGACGGUUCGUGGAGGGUUUUUCAUCUAUUGAAACAGCGAUGACCAGAUUGACCUAGAAGGGUGCCUAGUUCAGAUGGCCAUAUGAGUGUGAGGCGAGCUUUCAGAAGCUCAAGACAGCUCUGACUACGGUACCGGUAUUGGUUUUUCCCACAGGUUCAAGGCCUUAUACAGUCUACUCUGAUGUUUCCCGUAUAGGGCUUGGUGUAGUGUUGAUGCAGGAUGGAAAGGUCAUCGCCUAUGCUUUGAGGCAGUUGAAGAUUCACGAGAAGAAUUAUUCGGUUCAUGAUCUAGAGUUGGCAUCCAUUGUUCAUGCAUUGAAGAUCUGGAGGCAUUAUCUAUACGGCGUGGCAUGUGAGGUGUACGCUGAUUACAAGAGUCUUUAGUAUUUGUUCAAGUAGAAGGAGUUGAAUUUGAAGCAUAGAAGGUGGUUGGAGUUGUUCAAAGAUUAUGAUGUUACUAUCUUAUAUCACCCGGGAAGGCCAAUGUGGUGGCCGAUGCUCUGAGUAGGAAGCCUGCCAGCAUGGGCAGUCUUACUUAUAUUCCGAUCAGUCAGAGGUCGCUUUCUUUGGAUGUUCAGAUUUUGGCCAAUCGAUUUUUGAGGUUGGAUAUUUCUGAGCCUAGUCUGGUGUUAGCUUGCACAGUCGCUCGUUAUUCAUUAUUGGAGCGUAUCUGUGAUCGGCAGUUUGAUGAUCCCACGUGUGUGUCCUUAGAGACACGGUGCAGCGAGAAGGUGCCAAGCUGGUUAGGUUAGAUGCCGAAGGAGUCUUGAGAUUGCAAGGGCGAGUUUGUGUGCCCAAUGUGGAUGGGCUUCCAGAGUUGAUUUUGGAGGAGGCCCAUAGUUCCGGGUACUCUAUUCAUCCUGUCACUGCGAAGAUGUAUCAGGAUUUGCGGCAACAUUAUUGGUGGCGUAGAAUAAAGAAGGAAAUUGUGGCAUAUGUGGCGCGUUGUUUGAAUUGUUAGCAGGUUAAGUACGAGCAUCAGAGGCCUCGUGGUUUAUUUCAGAAUAUUGAGCUUCCCGAGUGGAAGUGGGAGCGGAUCACUAUGGACUUUGUUAGUGGACUUCCGUUGACUCGGAAGAAGUUCGAUACGGGUUGGGUCAUUGUUGAUAGGCUGACCAAGUCAGCGCAUUUCAUUCCGGUGGCAGUCUCCUAUUCAUCCCAGAGGUUAGUUAAGAUCUAUAUCCGGGAGAUUGUUCGCCUUCAUGGUGUGCCGGUAUCUAUCAUUUCAGACCAAGGUACGCAGUUUACCUUGUGUUUCUAGAAAGCAGUUCCGCGAGUGUUAGGCACCCAAGUGGAGUUGAGUUCAACAUUUCAUCCUCAGACGGACUGGUAGACCGAGCGGAAUAUUCAGAUAUUGAAGGAUAUGCUCUCUGAGCUUGUGUUAUUGACUUUGGAGGUUCAUGGGAUCAGUUCUUGCCUUUAGCAGCGUUUGCCUGCAACAACAGCUACGAGUCGAGCAUUCAGAUGGCUCCUCAUGAGGCUUUAUGUGGUACGCGGUGUUGAUCUCCGCUUGGAUGGUUUGAGACGGGAGAGGCUUGGUUGUUGGGUACGGAUUUGGUUCAGGAGGCCUUGGACAACGUCAGGACCAUUCAGGAUAGGCUUCGUUCAGCUCAGUCUAGGUAAAAGAGUUAUGCAGAUCGUAAAGUUCGAGAUAUAGCAUUCAUGGUUGGUAAGCGGGUAUUGCUCCGAGUGUUGCCUAUAAGGGCUUGAUGAGGUUUGGGAAGAAGGACAAGCUUAGCCGUAGAUUCAUUGGUCCGCUUGAGAUUCUUAAUCGAGUGGGAGAGCUGGCUUAUAGACUUGCAUUUUCGCAUAGCUUAUCAGCCGUGCAUUUGUUUCACGGGUCCAUGCUUUGAAAGUAUCACGGCGAUCCAUCCCAUGUGUUAGAUUUCAGCACUGUCCAGUUGGAUAAGGACAUGUCUUAUGAGGAGGAGCCGGUGGCUAUUCAAGAUCGGCAGGUUCGACAGAUGAGUUCGAAGAGUUUUCCUUCGGUGCAUGUUCAGUGGAGAGGUCAGCCUCCUGAGGCAUCAAACUGAGAGUCCGAGUCUGAUAUGCGUAGCCAUUAUCCCCAUCUUUUUCCCAACUCAGGUACUUCUUUCCUUUGUCCGUUCGAGGAAGAGUGGUUGCUUUAGAGGUGGAGAAUGUGACGAUCCAAAGGGGUCAUCACCUGUUUAUUUAUUCGUUAUGUGCUUCUGAGGCCUUGAACAACUAAAUUAGGGUUGCCUCGAUUUACGUGCGCAAUUCGGGCGUGUAGCCGAAAAACUUAAAUAUGAAUUAUGUGAGAAAAAUGCUAAAUUUUGAUAUUUAAAAUGAUUACAUUUGACUUGGGUCAAUAUUUUGAGUAAACGGACCCGGAUCCAUAAUUUGCGGGUUGUAGAGGGUCCGUAGGAAAAUAUAGGACUUGGGCGUAUGCCCGGAAUUGAAUUCCAAGGUUCCAAGCCUGAGGAAUGAAUUUUUGAGAAAAAUUAUUUUCUAGAAAUAAUUAUGAAAAAUGGAUAUGAAAUUCUAUUAGAAGAUUAUGGUAUCGGCCCCUAUUUUGGUUGCGGCGCCUGGUAUAAGUCUUAUAUGUGAUUUAAGCACUUCUAUAAAGUUUGGUUAACCAGACGUCGUUUGACGCAAUCCGAACCCUAAUUGGGAAUUAUACUUAAAAUGGAUAUUUGAGAAAUUUCAUUGAUCUUGAGGCUCAAUUCCAUGUUCAUGAUGCUAUAUUGGUGAUUUCAUUACACGAAUAUGUUUAUAAGAUGUUUUGAGGUGUGUAUGCCUGGAUUAGAGUUUUGAGGGCUCGGGUCAGCUUUGAGUAGGUUCCGGGAUGCCUUAGGCUUAAAAAGAUCAUAUGUUGCAGGUUCAGAAAUUUGGCAUGUCUUUGAACCCUCUAGCGCAGCCCGCGAGAAAUCGCAUGCGGCCGUGGAGGGUCCAGCACGGCAGCAGUCGAUCACACGAAUAUGUUUGUAAGAUAUUUUGAGGUGUGUAUGCCUUGAUUAGAGUUUUGAGGGCUCGGAUGAGAUUUGAGUAGGUUACGGGAUGCCUUAGGCUUAAAAAGAUCAGAUUUUGCAGGUUCGAAAAUUUGGCAUGUCUCUGAACCCUCUAGCGCGGCUCGCAAGAAAUCGCUUGCGACCGCGAUCGCCUUUGCCUGGUGGGUGUUAUGCGGCCGCGGUCGGUUUGGUGCGGUCCGCACUGGGCAAUAAUCCGCAGGCCUUCAAAAAGUCUGUGUAGCCGCGGUCCUUUUUGCGCGGUCCGCACAGGAACCUCAGAUGGGUAUAAAUACACGUGAAUUUCAGUUAUUUUACACUUUUCAAAAACCACAAAACUUAAGAGACGAUUUUCCAAACAACUCUUCUUCUCCAAAACGAUUGGUAAGUGAUUUCUAACUCAUUUUCUUCACUCCUUAGAAUCUUUUAACAUGUUCUCAACUUCAAAUAAAAGAUUUUUAUGGGAAAAUUGGGUAUUUUUUGUAAAACCUAGGUUUCCUAAAAAUUGGGGAGUUGGAUCUCAAUUUGAGGUAUGAUUCCAAAACAAAUAAUAUAUUUGGAUUCGUGGGGAAAUCGAGUUUGGUUCCGAACCUCUAGUUUCGACCACGUGGUCCCAGUGGCAUUUUUGACCUUUCGGGGUAAAAUUUUGUAAUACUUAUUUUCAUGCAUCGGGGUUGAUUCAUUUAGCAUUUGUUAAUGAGAUUAAGUACCUUAUGAUUAGAUUCGAGCGGAUUGGUGGUGGAACCAAGGGGGAAAGCUAUAAUUGAGGCGUGAGUUGAAUUCAAGGCAUUGAGGUAAGUGUUCGGUCUAACCCUAGCUUGAGGAAUUAGGAAUUGAGUCUUAUGUGCUAAUUGCUCUUUGUUGAGUACGGAGUGUAGGCAUGGUGACGAGUAUCUAUACGUUUGUGUCAAGCAUGACUGUGGGUCCUAAAUUAGAAGUUGUUGUAUUCUUAAAUGACAUCAUGUAUGCCUUAACUAAUGAUCUACCGUAUUAGGCAAAGAUUUGUUUAUCCUCGUAGAUCCUAAUUAUGAUUGAGUAUGUUCAUUUAUCAAACUAAGUUAAGGUUGGUUAUAGUUUAUUCUCCCUUGCCGGGAUGAUUGUUUCUAUAUUGUUGUUCCCUUGCCAGGAAUGUAUUAUGUUACUUUAUUCCCUUGCCGGGAAUUUAUUAUGUUACUUUAUUUCCUUGCCGGGAUUUCUUAUGAUUAUGUGAUAACAUGAAAUGGGAUCGAGUGGUAUGCCUACCACAAGAUAUAGUAAAAUGGGAGUGGAUGGUACGCCUACCACCAGAUAUUGAAAUGGGAGCGAGUGGUACGCAUGCCACAAGAUAUUGAAAUGGGAUCGGGUGGUACGCCUACCAGGAGAUGUAAUGAAAUGGGAGCGGGUGGUACGCCUACCACAAGAUAUUGAAAUGGGAGCGGGUGGUACGCCUUACCACAAGAUAAUGAAAUGGGAUCAGGUGGUACGCCUACCACAAGAUAUUGAAAUGGUAGCAGGUUGUACGCCUACCACAAGAUAUUGAAAUGAGAGCGGGUGAUACGCCUACCACGAGAUAUUGAAAUGGGAGCGGGUGGUACACCUACCACGAGAUAUAAUGAAAUGGGAGCGGGUAGUACACCUACCACGAGAUAUUGAAAUGGGAGCGAGUGGUACGCCUACCACGAGAUAUAAUAAAAUGGGAGCAGGUGGUACGCCUACCACGAGAUAUAUUGAAAUGGGAUCAGGUUGCACGCCUGCAACAAGAUUGAAACCUAAAGUGAAAGUUAUCUUUACUUCUUUUUACCCGCGUUAGAAGUUAAAUUACAGUUUUUCCUUAUUGUUCUUAAUAUUCUGCUUACUUGUUAUCCCCACAGCAUGUUCCCCCCUCCCCAGCGUUAAGUGCCUAUUACUUUUUUACUUUUCCGUUAUAUAUUAUAUAAUUGCACUGGCUUAUCUGGAGUCUGGUCCUAGCCUCGUCACUACUUCGCCGGGGUUAGGCCAGACACUUACCAACACAUAGGGUCGGUUGUGUUGAUGCUACACUCUGCGCUCUUUUGCAUAGAUCCAGGUGAUGGAGUAGCAUUUGGGCAGCAGUACUAGAUCGGGAGCCAGCCUUCAGUCCACUGAGACAUCAUGGUAGCCUUGCAGACGUCCUCAAGCCCGGAUUCUCCUAUAUCUUGCCUUUCAUUUUGUUAUCUCAUGUAUUCCGAGACAAAAAAUGUUAUAUUCUUUUCAAACGGUUGUGUGUAGUACUCUUGGUGGUUCGUGAGUAUGUGACACUAGUUGUUGGGUAUAGAUUAUGUUGAUUUUUUCGCAUUAUUGUUCAGAUUAUUUAACUUAAGACUUCCGCUUAUUUUUUUAUUCCAUUAUUUCAUGGUAUUACCGAUAAUUGCUAAAAGGAGUAAAUCAGUUAUGAAAAAUGGUAGUUAAAGGUUGGCUUGCUUAGCUCUCAAUAGUAGGCGUCAUCACGACUCCUGAGGGCGGAAAUUCCAGGUCCUGACAAUGACUGAGUACAUAUAUGAAGUCAAAACAGCAAGGAAUAGUAGUAAAAAAUUCCGAAGGGUCCAAAACAGUUGGCACGAGGCGCAAAUAUGGUAUUCAUCCCAAAACAUAGUGAUAACAUAUAGUUUUCAAUCAAAUACGUGGUUAAAAAGUAAUACGAGACAGACUAAUUAACAAUCCCCAAUGGUGCAUGACACCACGCUCGUUAUCUAGCGUGUGUGUAACCUCAAAGUAGCAUAACGAUGUGAAAUUCGUGGUGUCAUACCCUGAGGACAUCAUUUACAAUCAUUACUUACCUCAAUACGGUCCAAACUCUAGCUUGCGAUGCUUUUUCCUCUCGACUCGGCCUCUAGAUGCUCCAAAUCUAACCAAAAGCAGUACCAUACCAUUAAAAUAUGCUAGGAGAAUAAAGCCCACUCGAAAAUAACUAACUUACAUAUAGAUGCCCGAAAUUGACGAAACCCGGCCUGGGGCCCACACCUUAGGUUCUCAUAAAAUUUACAAAACUGGAAUCCUUACACUUUCACGAGUUAAUACAUACCAAAUAUACCAAAAUCCGACCAAAAUGAUCCCUCAAAUCCCUAAUUUUAGGUCUCAAAUUUUACAAGCACUAACCCCCACUUGCUACUGAUUCUCCCAUAGAUUUCAUGCUUACAACCUUAAAAAUUAUCAUAAAAAUGAGUUUAUGGACCAAAGACCUUAUCUCUAAGAAACCCUCUUGAAUUCUCCCUUCAAUUAGCUCUCCAAAGCUUCUUCCCGUUUGAAAUGUUAUGAAAAACCUCUCAAAAUUGUGAAGGGUGAAAUAAACAUAUUCUGACCCAGCAAAAGUGCAUCUGCAGUCCAAUUCCCGCACAUGCAGGACCGCUUCUUCAGAUAAUCAACCACUUUUGCGGUUUCUCAUUUAAUUCCCUUAUCCGCACUUGCGACGCAAGCUCUGCAUCUGCGGGAUCGCAAGUGUCCCACACCUUCAGCAUCUGCGACUUCUACCUUCUUCGCAUGUGGCCACAUCUGCGACUUGAUCUCACUUCUGCGGUCAUUGUACCUGCGACUCCCUAAUCGUAGGUGCGGUUAUGACAGUGGAAUUAGCAGCUGAAGCUGCUCCAACAAUUUCCCAAGUACAAACAAUUCAUAUACCACCUUCCAUACUUACACAAAUCUUCAAAACACCUCAAACAACAUUGAAUCAACCAAAUAACAUCGGAUUCAAGCCUAAGAUCUCCAAAAACUUUCGAAUUUUUCUUUUGAUAAAAAAGUCUCAAACCUUGUCCGAAUGACCUGAAAUUUUACACACACUUCACAAAUGGCACAACUGACCUGCUCCAACUUUUGAAAUUCCAUCUGACCCCGAUAUCAAAUUUCCACUAUCGAUCGAAAAAUGCCAAAAUUUAAAUUUCACCAAUUCACGCCUAAAUCUACUUUGGACCUCCAAAACAUAUUUCGAUCACACUCCUAAGUCCCAAAUCACCUAAUGGAGCUAACAAAAUAAAAAAAAUCCAAUUUGAGAUCAUAUGCUAACAAGACAAAACUUGGUGAAAUCUUUCAAAUUUUAAGCUUCAAAUUGAGAACUGUUCUUCCAAAUUCAUUCCGUUUACCCUAAAAACCAAAACCGGCAAUUUAUAUAAGUCAUAAUACAUCACACGGGGCUAUUCAUGCCGAGAACUAGCGAGCGAAGUGCAAAAGCUCAAAAUAAUCUAUCGGAUCGUUACACAAAGGCAUGCCACUUAAAGUCUUACAAUAUUGUAUUCCUUAUGCGUUGAUGUUUGCGAUUUGAAAGUUCAAUAUAUUUAUUGAGAAUGACUAUAUGCAUACACAUACGGUUUUAUGCAGUUAGUGAUAUUAGGGGGAGCAUCGGUCGGUUUAGUUCGGAUUUGAACAUUAUCGGUUUUGCCUAUCGGUUAUCGAUUUACAAAUAUAAUAACCCGAUAACCAAACCGAUAAGAUAUUGGUUAUCGAUUAUCGAUUAAUCGUAUUGGUUCGGUUACGGUUUAACCGAUAAGAUAAAAUAAUAAAAUAUUUUGUAAUAUAUAAAACAAAGAAAUCAAAAUGCUUGAACGUGUAAACUAUAAACUGCCAACUUUUGUUGUUUCUUAACAAACGUACGCUCCCGCUUCUGUGCAGUAUCUACUGAUACACAUCAUGGAUCAACACCAAUUGUGGUGGAACCAUCCUUAUUCUUGGAAUGACAAUUUCACAUGAGUAGAGAAGACACCAUACCACUCCAAAGAGUCACAGUAAAGACAUCGCACACAGUUUCACAACCUACCCGAACAAAUCCAAUCAAAAAAAAAAUCUGAUAUACUAAAUACUACAAGAUCAUUCUAAAAAAAACUUAGCACUUCAAGAUGCCCACUACAAGACUCACAUAUAUAAGAUAGCCUAUAUAUAUUACUGGGUAAUGUGAAGGUUACGAAAAGUCAAAACAAUUAACAAUAAGCAAACAGAAAAAUCUUGAGCCAAAACUUACACGAUCCGAUUGAUGAUUGAGGGAGUGAACCGUCAUGACUAGUGGAGAACUGGAGAGGCACUGGCGUCUGGCGGAGAAUUGGUGGUGAGUCUUGCGUCUUGACUCUUGGGGGACUGCGGCAGAAACAGGAAUGAGAACUGAGAGACAGACGACUGAAGGUUGAAGAGUGAAGAGGGAAUUAAGAAAAUUAAACCCUAGUAUAUACUUAGGGUAAAUUAGUAAAUUACUUUAUUCUUAUUGGAUUAUCGGUUUUUACCCAUUAACAAAAAUGCAAACCGAUUCCGAAUAGAUAACCCAAUGAUAAAAAAAAUUAACCUGUUACCAAACCGUUAACCCAAUAACCCAAUACCGGUAACCCAAUAAAGAAUUAACGGUUCGGGUUAUCGGUUUUACCCGAUAUAUGUCUACCCCUAAGUGAUAUAGUAUUAGUUGUGUUAAUUUAGUUUUGUAAUUGUUAGUGGCAUUUUUGUAAUUACACUUUCCUUAUUCUUACACACGUGUAUAUACAUACUCAGUAGAAGUGGAAAUAACUCAUUUUUAUUUUCCCCAAUUAUUCUUUCAGCUUCAAAGAGUGCUUUAUAGUGGAAACCAAAUCCCUUUGAUCUUAAUUCUUAACAAUAUUUAUAUUAUAUAGGCUAGAUAUAUUGUAUCUCAAUGUCAAAAUUAAACGUAAGAAGCACACCGAUAUUUGAAGUAUAAACAAAUCAUGUAAAGGCUCGUCCUCACGACUCCCCACAAAAAAAAAGGAAAAACAAGAGAAAGGAAUAGGAAAACAACAUGAAUAAUAUAAAUGCUUGGAACCUUCUUUUGUCCAAUAGGUUGUGCUUCUAGAAUAACUUCUCUUUUGGUUUUAACAUUUUGCACUUCCACUCUAUUUCGGCAGUACUUAGUAUAAACCACAAGUACACCACAUAUCAAUUCGUUUUUUUACCUUCGAAAACAAUUGUAUGUAAUAUAGUAAAGAAUAGUCUAGUGAAAUUAUACAGGAGAUAUCUUAUAAAGGAAAUCUGAAGCCACACCAAAGGUGAGUAAUCUGAAUUUUUAUCCUUAAGAAUUGUAAUGGACCAAUUGAAUUGAGUAGUUAGUAGAAAUUUGAGAUGGCUGGUGAGAAGUAGUACUUAGUAUAAAUCACAAGUGCACCACAUAUCAAUUCGUUUUUUUUUUUACCUUCGAAAACAAUUGUAUGUUAAUAUAGUAAAGAAUACAACAACAACAACAACAAUAACUAUCCAGUAAUGUCCCAUACAGUAGGGUCUGGAGAGGGUAAUAUGUAGACGAGCCUUACCCCUACCCGAAAGGGCAGAAAGGUUGUUUCCAAUCGAUCAUCGGCUAAAUGAAGGAAAGGAAAAACAAAAAUAAAGACAAAAGAGCAUUAGUAACACCAGCAGAAAUAUCGUAAAUAAUUAUCUAGACAUAAGAGCCAUAAAUAAAAUAGAAACAAAGACAAAAGAGCAUUAGUAACACCAACAGAAAUAUCGUAAAUAAUUAUCUACAUAAGAACCAUAAAUAAAAUAGCAUACAAUAAUAUCAGACAGUAACUACCAUAAAUAAAGAAUAGUCUAGUGUAACUACCAUAAAUAAAGAAUAAUCUAGUGUAACUACCAUUAAUAUAGUAAAGAAUAGUCUAGUGAAGUUAUACAGGAGAUAUCUUAUAAAGGAAAUCUUAAGCCACACCAAAGGUGAGUAAUCUGAAUUUUUAUCCUUAAGAAUUGUAAUGGACCAAUUGAAUUGAGUAGUUAGUAGAAAUUUGAGAUGGCUGGUGAGAAGUACAUGAUAGUACUAUAUACUAGUAGAUUCGGACUUUAUCCAUUCUAUAGUAGUAUAUUUUAUUUUUAGUUUCCUUACACUGUAUUUGUUCAUACUUGGUAAUAAAAGUUCUAGUUACCCAAAAAAUAUAUAGUGAAAUUGAGUUACAAUAUUUAUAUUUAAUAUUCGUAUAUGUUCAUACUUGGUAAUAAAAGUUCUAGUUACCCAAAAAAUUAUAGUGAAAUUGAGUUACAAUAUUGAGGUUUCAAGAGAAUGAGGUUAUUGAGUUCAAAAUUUCAAAUCUUGCAUUUGCUUGUGUAAUAUUAUUUUUUCAUAUUCUCACUUCUCACCCAAUGUUAUAAGAGCCCAAUUGAAUUUGAAUUUACACUAAAAAAUCACUUAUCACAGGGAAAAUAUUUUCUAACAAAGAUGACUUUACAUUCAUGACAUGAAAUCUAGGGGACAUUUCUUCCAAGUCUAUGCGUCUAAAUAUUUGACCCUUCCUCCAAAGUUACAGAACUUUCUUUAUACAACAUUGUUUACUGCAACAAAUCGAGCUUGAUUAACAACCAAAAGUUUUGAAAGGAGCACGAAGUGGUUGCCAUAACCACGUGUUAUAGCAACCCGUUUUUGUUGCAGUAGGAGAUCUUUAGUCAAUCCACUCAAUGUAACGAUUCAAACGGGAGGUUUUGAUAAUCGAAAACUUGUUUCAUUGUAACAAUCUAACCGGAUAUUUUGAGCCUUAACGCGUCGUUCGGCGGUUUGAGGUCUUGAGUGUAGCAUCACUUCAUGUAUUACGACUUAUACGUGUGGUCGGAAUUGAAUUUUGGGAACUCCGGAGUUGAUUCGGAAGAAUAAUUCUCAAUUCGAAAACUUUAAGUAAAAAAAUUGACUAAAAAUUUGACUUUGAAUAAAUGAUAUCGAAAUCAGGAUUUUAAGGUUCCAAUAGGUUCGUACGAUGAUUUUGUACUUGAAGUAUGUUCGGGUUGAGUAUCGGGUUGUCCGGGAGCAUUCCGACGCUUAUCAUAGAAAGUUGGCAUUUUGAAAAUUUAAGAAUUUCUUAAGUUUGAUUUGAAGUGAAUUUUGGUGUUAUCGAUGUCCGUUUGGAGUUCCGAGCCUUGGAGUAGGUUCGUAUUUUGACUUGCACACAUUUGGCGUUAUUUUGGGAUGUUUAGGUAUAACUCUAACGUGUUCGGCGAAGUUUAAUAGUUUGAAAGUUUAAAGAAAUAUUUCGAUCGCGGGGGCCUAGGGAUGGUUUCGGACCAAGUUCAGAUGAAUUCCCGUUGUUGGUUGCUGGUGUCUGGUUUUGUUCUCCGUAAACGCGAAGGGAUUCACGCGUUCGCGAAGAAGGAUUUUUGGGGUAGCUGGAUUUGUUCAUCGCGAACACGUCUCGUUGGUCACGAAUGCGUAGAGGAAUUUUGGAGGUUGUGAUUUUAAGCCUUCACGAUCGCGAAGAUGCUCCCGCGAUCGUAAAGAAGAACGGGCCUAGCCAGACUUGGUUUUAUACAGGAUUUGGCCCAUUUUCUUUUAUUUUUCACUUGGUUGGGGCGAUUUUUGGAGAGCUUCAAAGGGAGGUUUUUGUCAUCUACAACAAGGUAAGUAAUACCCACAUAUAUUAGUGAAAUACAUGGAUUACAUGGAUUUAAACAUGAAAAUUUGUGAAAAUUGUGAGAUUUUAAUAGAAAAACCUAAAAUUGAUAUUUUAAAAUUUCGACCACGAUUUUAAAAAUGAAAUUAGGAAUAAAUUAUGUAUUUGAGUUUGUAAUAUUAUGGAUAGAGUUUAUCUUCAAAAAAUUUUGAAAUACGAGCAUGUGGGUCUGAGUGUAGACUUUAUCGACUUUUCGAACGGAGUUGGAAAUUAUUAUAAAUUGAUUAAUUAUAAGCAUUGGAGUAUAUUUUGAUUGAUUUGCACAUUAUUUGACUGGUUUUGUUUCAUUUAUCUUUGAGUCGAGAAGUUAGAGAGGCAUUGAAGUCGAUUAUGGAUCUUCGGAGCAGGGUAAGUCUCCUGUCUAAUCUUGUGAGGGAAAAGUUACCCCGUAUGUGUUAUAUUGAUUACAUGUUACAUUUUGUGGGAGCUAUGCACGUACGAGGUGACGAGUGUCCGUACAUAUGCUAGAAUUCUUGACUAUGUCCGAGUAAACUAAAUUCACGCCAUGCUUUAAAUGUGUUAUUUGAGCUAUCAUUGUCACACCUUCUUUUCACCAUCCUGAGGAUGAUAUAUGGGAGUUUUUCCACUUUAAGUGAUAUUAUUCGAGACGGAAUUAUUUAUUUAUCAGAGUCGCCACUUGGGAUAGUUUAAUUGGUGUCUCAAUUCACCAGUUUAUUGUAAAAUCCCAAAUCGAGAAAAUUCGAGUUCUAUUUUUUUAGUCUGCGAACCAGAAAUUCUAAAUAAGGAAUUCUGUUAACCUGGGAGAAGGUGUUAAGUAUUCUCGAGUUCCGUAGUUCUAUCAGUCACUUAAACUACCUAUUAUCUGAUUAAUUGUACAUUUUAAACAUAUUGUGAAUUUAAACCUUAUAACCGCUUUUAGGUUUAUGAAAUUAUUUUCUUGAACAAGUUACGAUUAUCGUAUACUUAUUGUUUUGGAACACACCACAAAUCACGCUACAUGAAAUGCACCUGCGAUUUGCAACAUGUUUAUUUUAUUAUUAUUCGAAGUAGUUAUGAUCGGGUUAGAAGAAAUGCACCCCCAAUUUUGUGAAUUAGGCAUCAUAACUAUGUCACGAGAACUCUACCCAUAGCCGCGAUAACUUGUUAUAAAACGCGCCUAAAGCAAGUUGCGAUGUUCACAAUAUUUUCUAAACUAUUUUGAGAUAUUGAUGCCAAAUUUAUGGACAAAAUGUUAUUGGGAUGUGAAUAGACUAGCUAACAUGAUAUAUUACUUAGCCCAAAUUUCUUAUGGUUCGAUACCUACCUUAUGACGAUUAUUCAAUUUCAACUAAUCAAACUACAACCCAAUAAAACAAAGCUCAAAACCUAUUAUCAAUUUUGGCCAAAUGAACUCACGUGACUCACUUAAUUCUAAUUUACCACAAAUGGAAUUCAAUUGCUAAAAGAAUAAAAUGAUAUUUAUUGUUGCAACUUACGAGGCACGUGACCAUAACAAUUCAACUAAUCUGAUAUCCAAAACAAUUAUGAAGAUCAAAUAGUAAAAGAAUUGCAUUUUUUGAAGAAUAAUACCAUGAGGCUUAACUUCAGUCUGUCAUUUCCUAGUACACAGAUAAAUCUUGACAUAAAUAAAUAAGAAGGUCCAUUAGUCCAUACUAUAUUAACUUUACCACAUUAAGAACUUGACCACUUCUUGGCAGAAUGGAUGAAACCACAUGUGAAAAAGAACACUCAUUCUUUUGAACUCACAAAUUAAAAAAUGAGAUUCAAUGUUUAAUCAAAUUAUGAAGCUUAGUAGAUUGAUUCAUGAAAAAGGUAAAAUACUUUAAAUUACCUUUAAAUUUGGCUUAAAUUAUUAGUAUUUUUUUAUGACAAAAAAUGUGUGCACUCACCUGCCAGGUGAAUUUUUCACGUAUAUGUGAUAUCUUUUUUGAAAAGUAAAAUAUCUUUUUUUUAAUCUUUUUAAGAUAUUACUUUUAGAUAAUUUAGGCUAAAUACUUUUAUUUUACUAAAAAUAAUAAAGUUUUAUCUAAAAACAUUUUUUUGAAUUUGACCGAAAAAUAAAGAUUUCUACAAUUAAAAUAAAUAGUUAAGUCAUCUAAAAAGUUAUAAAAAAAUACAUAGUUUGAAAUUAAUUAUUUUGGGUAUAAUUUUUUAUAUAGCUCUAAAUUACGGUGAUUUAUAACUAUGUAUUUUUUUACAAAUUUUUAUAUGACUUGACUACUUAAUUUAAUUGUAUAAAUCUUUAUUUUCAUGUUAAAUUCAACAAAAAAUAUUUAACUAAAACUUAUUAUUUUUGAAAAAAUAAAAAAAUAUUUACCAUAAAUAAUAUAGUUAUGUCCAAGUUUUAUUAUAAAUUAUUUUUGAGAAAAAAUAUCUAAAAAAUUAAUAUUCUUAAAAAAGGUAAAAAGAUAUUAUAUUUUUCAAAAAAAAUGCCACAUAUACUGAAAAAUCCAUAUGGCAGACGAGUUAGCUCACACUUUUUGCCAUAUCAGCAUCUAGGUGGUAGUAACUCUCAAAAGAUCAACUUAAAGAGAUAAUUAAGACCAAACAUAGUUCGAGAAGAAUACUAAUAAUUUGAGCCAAUUAUAAGGGUGGUUUAAAGUAUUUUUCCCAUGAAAAAUGACAGGACUUCCUUUAACAGAAGUACAUUUCAUGGAGAAACAAGAAUCAAACCUGAAUGAGAAUCUUUAGUUGAUGGAAAUUUCCAGUAAUUACACGAACAAGAUGAAUCAACAGCUACGGCCUCGACAAUAACGUAUAUGCGAUGGAAAAGAUCAUAUCGGCUACUUCUAAAACCCGAUUAAGAAGCAAAAACAACAGACUCCAAAAAUCCAAAAUUUCACCGACACAAACAACGAAUAGGAGGUGGCUAAUGACUAUUUGGGGGCGUGCGUGGCUGUUUGGAAAUGGCUGAAAGGUGUUUUUAGGGAGGAGAGGGUCGUUGAUGAGUUCUCUUUUUCCCAAGAGAGUAAUUAUGGAGAUUAGAGGAUUUUUCUUAUUUUUCCAAAAUGAAAUGGCUGCCGUGACUUUGAAAAAGAGGAAUAAUGAGAGUUCUUCUUUUUUUGUUUUUAUAUUUUUUACUUCUUAAGGCUGGUUUCGGUCAAAUCCGAAGAGAGUCCAUGCGGGAGUUGUUUUUUAG
This 21780-nucleotide long non-coding RNA is filed under the name Nicotiana benthamiana. RNAcentral's name for it is "long non-coding RNA (NBEN_LNC014528)". The record is from RNAcentral. Lineage: Eukaryota; Viridiplantae; Streptophyta; Magnoliopsida; Solanales; Solanaceae.